AUUGAACGCUGGCGGCAUGCUUUACACAUGCAAGUCGAACGGUAACAGGGUGCUUGCACCGCUGACGAGUGGCGAACGGGUGAGUAAUGCGUCGGAACGUGCCGAGUAGUGGGGGAUAACGCAGCGAAAGUUGUGCUAAUACCGCAUACGUACUGAGGUAGAAAGUGGGGGACCUUCGGGCCUCACGCUAUUCGAGCGGCCGACGUCUGAUUAGCUAGUAGGUGAGGUAAAGGCUCACCUAGGCGACGAUCAGUAGCGGGUCUGAGAGGAUGAUCCACCACACUGGGACUGAGACACGGCCCAGACUCCUACGAGAGGCAGCAGUGGGGAAUUUUGGACAAUGGGCGAAAGCCUGAUCCAGCCAUGCCGCGUGUCUGAAGAAGGCCUUCGGGUUGUAAAGGACUUUUGUCAGGGAGGAAAUCCCUAGUGCUAAUAACACUGGGGGAUGACAGUACCUGAAGAAUAAGCACCGGCUAACUACGUGCCAGCAGCCGCAGUAA
Molecule: ribosomal RNA, 500 nt
Filed under: uncultured bacterium
Lineage: Bacteria
Description: partial 16S ribosomal RNA
Rfam family: Bacterial small subunit ribosomal RNA
Source: RNAcentral